GCCGGGAUAGCUCAGCUGGUAGAGCAUUUCCAUGGUAAGGAAAAGGUCGCGGGUUCAAGUCCCGCUCUCGGCU
This 73-nucleotide transfer RNA is filed under the name Deltaproteobacteria bacterium. RNAcentral describes it as "tRNA-Thr". It matches the Rfam family "tRNA". Rfam says of the family: Transfer RNA (tRNA) molecules are approximately 80 nucleotides in length. Their secondary structure includes four short double-helical elements and three loops (D, anti-codon, and T loops). The record is from RNAcentral. Lineage: Bacteria; Pseudomonadati; Myxococcota; Myxococcia.